GUAGUCUGCAACCCGACUACAUGAAGCUGGAAUCGCUAGUAAUCGCGGAUCAGAAUGCCGCGGUGAAUACGUUCCCGGGUCUUGUACACACCGCCCGUCACACCAUGGGAGUCGGAAAUGCCCGAAGUCUGUGACCCAACCAUUAAGGAGGGAGCAGCCGAAGGCAGGUCGGAUGACUGGGGUGAAGUCGUAACAAGGUAAC
This 202-nucleotide ribosomal RNA is filed under the name uncultured bacterium. RNAcentral describes it as "partial 16S ribosomal RNA". It matches the Rfam family "Bacterial small subunit ribosomal RNA", at positions 1300 to 1500 of the family's 1533-position model. The record is from RNAcentral.